CGCGCCGCUCUAUGCGUGGCACGAGAAGCCCGCGGAACGCAUCGCGCCCGCGGCGAGCGUGCAUGAGACGCUGCGCUCGAUCGAGGCCAGCGCCGCGCAAUGGACGGCGCUCGCGGGCGCAACGAGCACCGCCGCAACGCCGGUGACGGCGCGCGAAUCGAUAGCGGCGCCGGCUGCGCCGUCGGGCGGUGCGGCCGCAUCGGCCGCGCGGGAUGGUCGCGCGCCGACGAGCGCGGAAACGGCCGCACCGGACGGCCACGCGCCGACGAGCGCGGAAACGGUCGCGCCGGACGGCCACGUGCCGACGAGCGCGGAAACGGCCGCGCCGGACGGCCACGUGCCGACGAGCGCGGAAACGGCCGCGCCGAACGACCAUGCGUCGACGAGCGCGGAAACGGUCGCGCCGGACAGCCACGCGCCGACGAGCGCGGAAACGGCCGCGCCGGACGGCCAUGCGUCGACGAUCACGGAAGCGACCGCGCCGAACGGCCACGUGUCGGCGACCGUAGAAACAUCCGCUGUCGCCGCGCCCGCAGGCAUCACUCAAGCCGCGCCGCCCAUCGCCGCCGACAUCUGCCCUGCCGGCGAGCACGUGAUCGCCGCCGUCGAACCGGCGUGCACCUCGGAUUCCGCCGCCAUCGGCGCCGGCGCGAUCGCCCAUGCCGAAGCCGGCGCGGCUGCUUCGACCGCCGAGACCGCUUCCCCCAUCGGCGCGGACACGCACAUCGCACCCAGCCGCGAAGCGGACCGCACCGCUCAGACAGCGCCGACCGCGCCAAGCCCGGCCGAAGCAACGCCUCAUGUCGACGCGCCACACGCGCUCGAUGUCGCCGCUCGCGCCCUCGUCGGAAACACCGCCGCCACCGCGCACGGCGCCGCGGCCGUCAACGGAUCGGCGCAACGCGCCGACACCGCGUCGCCUGCCGCAUCGACGAGCGGCCCCCCCGCCCCUGUCGCGGCAUCGGCCGCCUCGAGCGAUCGCGCAGCCCCGCAACCCGUUGCCACGGCGGCGCCGGCGUCGAUUGCAACGUCCGGGGCUCUCGGCACGAUGAAGGCGAGCGGCACUGCCGGCCCUCAACCGUCAACCAUCGCCGCGCAGCGUGCAUCGGCCAUCGACGAUACCGGCCAGCCGCCGUCGACAGGACAUUCGACGCAUGCCGCCGUCUCGAACGAGCUCGGGCGGCGGCCCCAUGCCGCGCCAGACGCCGUCACGCCGGUAUUGCCGCCUGCCGCCGCGGCCGUGCCGACGAACGCGAGCGCCGUGCAACGUCAGGCGCUGGCGAGCGAGAGCGCCGAGGCCGCCCAAGGCGUCGCGAGAGCAGCGGCCGCCGGCGACUCGCGCGAGACGACGCAGGUGUCGCCCGCAGGCGCCAGGCCAGACGGAGCCGCCCCGAGCGCCGCCGUGGCGAACCCGAUCGCGCCGUUGCCGGACGCAUCGGCCAUCACGGCACACGAGGAUGCGCCGACGAGCGCCGCGCCAGACGCCGCGACUCCGGUCAUUGCCGCGAUGGAUAGCGCCAUGCCAAACGCGGUCGCUCCCGCGUCAGCAAUCGCGUCGAACGCGGGCAUGUCGCCCGCUAGCGCAUCGGCUGCCGCGCCACGCAUGGCCUCGGCACCGGCAUCGGCCGCCGUGCCGGACGCGCAUCCCCCGCUCCCCCGCGCAGCGGCCGCCGUGCCGGGCGUCGCUUCGAUCGGUAUGGCCGCGCCCGGCGUCAUCGUGACGAACGCGGCCACCGCGCUUCCCGCCGCACCGGGCCGGAUCGCAUCGCCCGCCGGCGCGUCGGCCGUCGCGCCCGGCGCGAUUACGCCGAACGCCGCCUCGACGGAUGUCGCACCGGCCGCCGCCCCGGCAAGCGACGUUUCACCGAACGUUGUGCCCGCACCGGCAGUCGGGGCGAACGCGAGCGUGCCGCCCGCCGGCGCAUCGUCCGCCGCCCGCCACGUGAAUGCGCCGAUGGUCGCUUCGACGGGCGCGGCAGCGCCCGCGCCGUCCAUUCCGUCGUCGCUGCCGCCGUCGACCGUCACGUCGAACGCCGAGAGGCGGGCCACCACCACCGCCCCCACCGCCGCCCCGGCCGGUCUCGCCCCGAAUCCGGUAGCCGCGUCGAGCUUUGUCGCACCGACGACCAGCGCAGCGCCUGGCCAAUUUGCGCCAGCCGCGACGGCUCCCGCCGACAACGCCCCCGCCGCCGCCGAGGCCCCGCCCGGUCGCGUGCCGAAUCCGCCGGCCGGGGCGGGCUUCGUCACGCCCACCAGCCCAACGCCCGGCCCACUCCCGCCCGCCGCCGAGACGCCGGCCGCCACCGCGACACCCACCGCGCCCCCGCCCGGCCUCGCCCCGAAUCCGCCGGCCGGGGCAGGCUUCGCCGCGACACCGGAGGCUGUCGCCCACCCCUUCGGCAAUCCGAGCGCUCCCGCACCGGGCGCGAUCCCCGAGUCGCCCGCCACGGCGCCAAGCGUUGCGCUCACGGCAAACGGCACCGAAGCGCCGGGCGCACCGCAAGCCUUCGCUCCGUCGCCCGUUCCCGCGAUGCCGGCGGCCCCCGCCGCGGCCGACCCGGCGAGCGCCGCCCCCGCCGCCGAGCCGGUCCGCCCGAGCCGCCCGCCCGCGCCGAACGCGUUCGAGUUCCACGCGCCCGCCGCGUCGAACGUGGAGCUGCCGACGCUCGACCUGCUCGAGCCCGCGUCCGACACGAUCGAGGCGAUCUCCGACGAGCACCUCGCGCAAACCGGCCAGAUCAUCGAGCAGCGCCUGCAGGAGUUCAAGGUGCCGGUGACGGUCGUCGGCGCGUCGGCGGGCCCGGUGAUCACGCGCUUCGAGAUCGAGCCCGCGCUCGGCGUGCGCGGCAGCCAGAUCGUCGGCCUGAUGAAGGAUCUGUCGCGCGGCCUCGGCCUCACGUCGAUCCGCGUCGUCGAGACGAUCCCCGGCAAGACCUGCAUGGGCCUCGAGCUGCCGAACGCGAAGCGCCAGAUGAUCCGCCUGUCGGAAAUCCUCGCGUCGCGCCAGUACCAG
RNAcentral lists this ribosomal RNA (3013 nucleotides) under Burkholderia mallei 2002721280. RNAcentral describes it as "23S ribosomal RNA". Lineage: Bacteria; Pseudomonadati; Pseudomonadota; Betaproteobacteria; Burkholderiales; Burkholderiaceae. The record is from RNAcentral.